RNAcentral lists this ribosomal RNA (484 nucleotides) under uncultured bacterium. Its description in RNAcentral is "partial 16S ribosomal RNA". It matches the Rfam family "Bacterial small subunit ribosomal RNA", at positions 30 to 507 of the family's 1533-position model. The record is from RNAcentral.
AUUGAACGCUGGCGGCAGGCCUAACACAUGCAAGUCGAGCGGAUGAAGGGAGCUUGCUCCUGGAUUCAGCGGCGGACGGGUGAGUAAUGCCUAUGAAUCUGCCUGGUAUUGGGGGAUAACGUCCGGAAACGGGCGCUAAUACCGCAUACGUCCUGAGGGAGAAAGUGGGGGAUCUUCGGACCUCACCCUAUCAGAUGAGCCUAGGUCGGAUUAGCUAGUUGGUGGGGUAAAGGCCUACCAAGGCGACGAUCCGUAACUGGUCUGAGAGGAUGAUCAGUCACACUGGAACUGAGACACGGUCCAGACUCCUACGGGAGGCAGCAGUGGGGAAUAUUGGACAAUGGGCGAAAGCCUGAUCCAGCCAUGCCGCGUGUGUGAAGAAGGUCUUCGGAUUGUAAAGCACUUUAAGUUGGGAGGAAGGGCAGUAAGUUAAUACCUUGCUGUUUUGACGGUACCAACAGAAUAAGCACCGGCUAACUUCGUG